This 531-nucleotide ribosomal RNA is filed under the name Triticum aestivum (bread wheat). RNAcentral's name for it is "partial small subunit ribosomal RNA". Lineage: Eukaryota; Viridiplantae; Streptophyta; Magnoliopsida; Poales; Poaceae. The record is from RNAcentral.
AUGCAGCUGCCGCCGUCCUACCCAGCCGUGCCGCCGCAGGUCUACUACCACUCGUUCGGCCUACACCUCAAUCCAAACCUCUAUCCCAGCGGUACGGUGUGCCUGAGCCUGUUCAACACCUUCGACGGCGAGGGCACGGAGGUCUGGUCGCCGGGAACGUCAAGCCUGCUCCAGGUCGUCGUCUCCCUUCAAGCACUUGUCCUCAACGACCAACCCUACUAUAAUGAGGCCAGCUUCGAGUCCCUGAUCAAUACACCGGAGGGCCAUCGCAACGUGUUCCCCUACUACGAGAACGUGUUCCUGCUCAGCUCGCGGACCAUGCUACACCUGGUGCGCCGACCGCCCCAGGGGUUCAAGGGGUUCGUGAAGGACCACUUCCGCCGUCGGGGGAGGUACGUGCUCAGGAUGUGUGAGGCAUACCUGAAAGGAUGCGUGCCUGUUGAAGAGGGGGGCAUGGAACUACCCUGCUGGCCGGCUUCAAGAUCGCGCUUGCCAAUGUGGUGCCGAGGCUCGUGGCUGCCUUCACAAUGA